RNAcentral lists this long non-coding RNA (1754 nucleotides) under Solanum tuberosum (potato). RNAcentral's name for it is "long non-coding RNA (STUB_LNC009799)". The record is from RNAcentral. Lineage: Eukaryota; Viridiplantae; Streptophyta; Magnoliopsida; Solanales; Solanaceae.
CCCCUAACAAAUACAACUCGAACUCAAAAUCUUUGGAUAAAGAUGAAAGAGUACUUACUACUCCACCACAAUCCUUGUUGGCAAAGUUACAAACAUGAUCCUAAUUAGAAGGGAUGCCAUCUUUAACAGCCUACUAGUUGCCUAAAACAAACAAAAAGAAAAACCAACAAAAUAAGGGCCAAACAAAAGUAGUUUGAAGGACCCAUAACUCUCACAAAUUUAUCACUCAAGAAAAGGGGAGAAGAUAAUGAGGAUAGGCAGUUUUGAGCUAGAAAUUUUAGCUACCAUAGCCAAAUUCUCCAUCAUCCAACCCUUGGUAGGGGCCAGAUUUUGUUGCUUAGAAAGACUCACAUUUCCUUUAAGAGAUUAGAUUUCUAUGAUUUUUUUCAAUGGCUAUAAUCCAAUAUCCAAUUAGUAGGCCCAACUCAAGAGGAGAUAACCCCUUUUCAACCAUCCAAAAUGUAUAAGGAAAAUGUGUACAUGAACAAUUUGAUUUUGUAGUAGAAUUGCCCUAUGUGGGAUAUCAUCAAGUUCAAUUGUUUUUUCUUUUUAUCAGAAUGAUGCCUCAAAUGGAUUAAAAUGAAGGAAAACAAAAAUCUCAUUGCCAGAGACACAUGAAACUCUAAUGGCGAAAGCGACAUCUUUAUCAAUGAACCAAAAUGAAAUUACAAACUCAACAUAUGUAGUGUACAAGUUUAGGUACAUCAAUGUGCCUAAUUUCUAUCCUAAUCUUAGAUUUAUUAUCCAUUUGAUGUCGUCUCGAACAUUAUCUCAUUCAGUAGACCACAAGGCAAGCAACCAAGAAUUGUAACGAACAUCGCCUAAGAAACUUGUUUAGCUGCAGCUACAACAGCUUCUGCUGUAAUACCAAACUCUUUGUAUAUCUUAUCAGCAGGAGCACUAGCACCAAACCCGUCAAUCCCAAUGGCUUUUCCUUUAUCGCCAACAAAUUUUUGCCACCCAAAUGUUGAUCCAGCUUCAAUGCUAACUCUAGCUGUAACAGAUGAUGGAAGGACACUUUCCUUGUAUUCAGCUGAUUGUUCAUCAUAAAGCUCCCAACAAACAAAGGAAACAACCCUCACUGUCUUUCCUUCUUUCUUUAGUUCCUCAGCAGCCUUGACAGCAAUUUCCAACUCGGAGCCAGUACCGAUCAAAAUGACAUCAGGUUUGUUGCCAGAUGAAUUGUCUGAUACAAUGUAGCCACCCUUUGCUGCUCCUUCAAUAGAAGUUCCAGCAAGUUGUGGCAACUUUUGCCGAGAGAGGGCAAGGAUUGAUGGUGUUUUCCUCUUAAGGACAGCCACCUUGUAAGCUCCUGCUGUCUCAUUGCCAUCUGCUGGACGGAACAUCAGAAUGUUGGGCAUGGCACGGAAACUUGCCAAGUGCUCAAUGGGUUGAUGGGUUGGACCGUCUUCUCCUAGACCAAUUGAAUCGUGAGUCAUAACAUAAAUAACUCCAGCUUCAGACAAGGCUGAAAUCCUCAUGGCUCCUCUCAUGUAGUCAGUGAACACAAAGAAAGUAGCACAAUAGGGGAUCAAGCCAAGGCUGUGUAGAGCAAUUCCAUUACAUAUGGCUCCCAUACCAUGUUCACGAACACCAAACCUUAAAUUACGCUCUUCUGGAGUGUUCUUUUGGAAGUCACCAAACAUUUUCAAAAGAGUCAUGUUUGAUGAUGCAAGAUCAGCACUACCACCAAGGAAACCAGGUAGAACCUUGGCAAGAGCAUUAAGGUUUUGUUGUGACAAGUUUCUCGUGGC